AGUCGAGCGAGUCUGCCUUGAAGAUCGGAGUGCUUGCACUCUGUGAAACAAGAUACAGGCUAGCGGCGGACGGGUGAGUAACACGUGGGUAACCUGCCCAAGAGAUCGGGAUAACACCUGGAAACAGAUGCUAAUACCGGAUAACAACAGAUGAUGCCUAUCAACUGUUUAAAAGAUGGUUCUGCUAUCACUCUUGGAUGGACCUGCGGUGCAUUAGCUAGUUGGUAGGGUAACGGCCUACCAAGGCGAUGAUGCAUAGCCGAGUUGAGAGACUGAUCGGCCACAUUGGGACUGAGACACGGCCCAAACUCCUACGGGAGGCAGCAGUAGGGAAUCUUCCACAAUGGACGCAAGUCUGAUGGAGCAACGCCGCGUGAGUGAAGAAGGGUUUCGGCUCGUAAAGCUCUGUUGUUGGUGAAGAAGGACAGGGGUAGUAACUGACCUUUGUUUGACGGUAAUCAAUUAGAAAGUCACGGCUAACUACGUGCCAGCAGCCGCGGUAAUACGUAGGUGGCAAGCGUUGUCCGGAUUUAUUGGGCGUAAAGCGAGUGCAGGCGGCUCGAUAAGUCUGAUGUGAAAGCCUUCGGCUCAACCGGAGAAUUGCAUCAGAAACUGUCGAGCUUGAGUACAGAAGAGGAGAGUGGAACUCCAUGUGUAGCGGCGAAAUGCGUAGAUAUAUGGAAGAACACCGGUGGCGAAGGCGGCUCUCUGGUCUGUUACUGACGCUGAGGCUCGAAAGCAUGGGUAGCGAACAGGAUUAGAUACCCUGGUAGUCCAUGCCGUAAACGAUGAGUGCUAAGUGUUGGGAGGUUUCCGCCUCUCAGUGCUGCA
This 831-nucleotide ribosomal RNA is filed under the name uncultured bacterium. Its description in RNAcentral is "bacterial SSU rRNA". It matches the Rfam family "Bacterial small subunit ribosomal RNA", at positions 60 to 850 of the family's 1533-position model. The record is from RNAcentral.